RNAcentral lists this ribosomal RNA (255 nucleotides) under uncultured bacterium. Its description in RNAcentral is "partial small subunit ribosomal RNA". It matches the Rfam family "Bacterial small subunit ribosomal RNA", at positions 26 to 285 of the family's 1533-position model. The record is from RNAcentral.
AGAAUCAACGCUGGCGGCGUGCCUAACACAUGCAAGUCGAGCGGAAAGGCCCUUCGGGGUACUCGAGCGGCGAACGGGUGAGUAACACGUGAGCAACCUGCCCUUAGCUCUGGGAUAGCUCCGGGAAACCGGAAUUAAUACCGGAUAUUACACCGGCUGGCAUCGGCUGGUGUGGAAAGAUUUAUCGGCUAAGGAUGGACUCGCGGCCUAUCAGCUUGUUGGUGGGGUAGAAGCCUACCAAGGCGACGACGGGUA